GGAGUGGUGCUAACCAAAGAUAACCUCGUCCGUCGCAACUGUCAAGGAAGUAAGAAGUGUAGCUUUUGUACUCAUGACGAAACAAUUAGACAUCUCUUUUUUCAGUGCAAGUUUGCGUGUUCUACGUGGUCAAUCAUCCAAAUAGCGUCUAAUCUUUAUCCGCCAACAGGUGUUGCCAAUAUUUUUGUCAUUGGCUGGAUGGUAUUCCUUAUAGAUUCAAAACGCUAA
This 228-nucleotide ribosomal RNA is filed under the name Triticum aestivum (bread wheat). RNAcentral's name for it is "partial small subunit ribosomal RNA". Lineage: Eukaryota; Viridiplantae; Streptophyta; Magnoliopsida; Poales; Poaceae. The record is from RNAcentral.